CCUACGGGAGGCAGCAGUGGGGAAUUUUGCGCAAUGCUCGUAAGAGUGACGCAGCGACGCCGCGUGAAUGACGAAGGCCUUCGGGUCGUAAAGUUCUUUCGACAGGGAAGAAAAUGCCUAUAAGUAACUGUGUAUGUAUUGACGGUACCUGUAUAAGCCGCCCCGGCUAACUCCGUGCCAGCAGCCGCGGUAAUACGGAGGGGGCGAGCGUUGUUCGGAGUGACUGGGCGUAAAGAGCACGUAGGCGGUGUUGUAAGUCAUUAGUCAAAGACUAGAGCUCAACUUUAGUAAGGCUAGUGAUACUAGACUACGAGAGUAUCAAAGAGGAUUGCAGAAUUCCUGGUGUAGCGGUGAAAUGCGUAGAUAUCAGGAGGAAUACCGUUAGCGAAGGCGGCAAUCUGGCUGGAAACUGACGCUGAGGUGCGAAAGCGUGGGUAGCAAACAGGAUUAGAUACCCGGGUAGUC
RNAcentral lists this ribosomal RNA (465 nucleotides) under uncultured bacterium. RNAcentral's name for it is "partial 16S ribosomal RNA". It matches the Rfam family "Bacterial small subunit ribosomal RNA", at positions 338 to 795 of the family's 1533-position model. The record is from RNAcentral.